RNAcentral lists this ribosomal RNA (499 nucleotides) under uncultured Bacteroidota bacterium. RNAcentral describes it as "bacterial SSU rRNA". It matches the Rfam family "Bacterial small subunit ribosomal RNA", at positions 355 to 850 of the family's 1533-position model. The record is from RNAcentral. Lineage: Bacteria; Pseudomonadati; Bacteroidota.
UGAGGAACAUUGGACAAUGGGCGAAAGCCUGAUCCAGCCAUGCCGCGUGCAGGAAGACUGCCCUAUGGGUUGUAAACUGCUUUUAUACGGGAAGAAACACCCCCUCGUGAGGGGGCUUGACGGUACCGUAAGAAUAAGGAUCGGCUAACUCCGUGCCAGGCAGCCGCGGUAAUACGGAGGAUCCAAGCGUUAUCCGGAAUCAUUGGGUUUAAAGGGUCCGUAGGUGGAAUAAUUAAGUCAGGGGUGUAAAGUCUUGCAGCUCAACUGUAGAAUUGCCCUUUGAUACUGGUUAUCUUGAAUUAUUGUGAAGUGGUUAGAAUAUGUAGUGUAGCGGUGAAAUGCAUAGAUAUUACAUAAGAAUACCAAUUGCGAAGGCAGAUCACUAACAAUAUAUUGACACUGAUGGACGAAAGCGUGGGUAGCGAACAGGAUUAGAUACCCUGGUAGUCCACGCCGUAAACGAUGGAUACUAGCUGUUCGGAUUUAUCUGAGUGGCUAA